CAGGGAUUGCCCUAGUAACGGCGAGUGAAGCGGCAACAGCUCAAAUUUGAAAUCUGGCGCAAGCCCGAGUUGUAAUUUGUAGAGGAUGCUUCUGGGCAGCGGCCGGUCUAAGUUCCUUGGAACAGGACGUCAUAGAGGGUGAGAAUCCCGUAUGCGACCGGUUGGCACCCGUCACGUAGCUCCUUCGACGAGUCGAGUUGUUUGGGAAUGCAGCUCUAAAUGGGUGGUAAAUUCCAUCUAAAGCUAAAUACCGGCUAGAGACCGAUAGCGCACAAGUAGAGUGAUCGAAAGAUGAAAAGCACUUUGGAAAGAGAGUUAAAAAGCACGUGAAAUUGUUGAAAGGGAAGCGCAUGCAACCAGACUUGUCGGCGGUGUUCCGCCGGUCUUCUGACCGGUCUACUCGCCGCCGGCAGGCCAGCAUCGUGUGGGCGCGCCGGAUAAAGGCGCUGGGAAUGUGGCCCCUCGGGGUGUUAUAGCCCAGCGCACAAUACGGUGCCGCCCGCGCGAGGUCCGCGCUUCGGCUAGGAUGCUGGCGUAAUGGUUGUCUGCGGCCCGUCUUGAAACACGGACCAAGGAGUCUAACAUCUAUGCGAGUGUUCGGGUGUCAAACCCCUGCGCGGAAUGAAAGUGAACGGAGGUGGGAACCCUCACGGGUGCACCAUCGACCGAUCCUGAUGUCUUCGGAUGGAUUUGAGUAAGAGCAUAGCUGUUGGGACCCGAAAGAUGGUGAACUAUGCCUGAAUAGGGUGAAGCCAGAGGAAACUCUGGUGGAGGCUCGCAGCGGUUCUGACGUGCAAAUCGAUCGUCAAAUUUGGGUAUAGGGGCGAAAGACUAAU
Molecule: ribosomal RNA, 836 nt
Filed under: Constantinomyces sp.
Lineage: Eukaryota; Fungi; Ascomycota; Dothideomycetes; Mycosphaerellales; Teratosphaeriaceae
Description: partial large subunit ribosomal RNA
Rfam family: Eukaryotic large subunit ribosomal RNA
Source: RNAcentral